GCGCGAAAACUUUACAAUGCUGGCAACAGCGAUAAGGGAACCUCGAGUGCCAGGUUACAAAUCUGGCUGUCGAGAUGCCUAAAAAGCAUUUCAUAGCAAGGGCCGGGCAAGACCGGUGCCAGCCGCCGCGGUAACACCGGCGGCUCGAGUGGUAACCGUUAUUAUUGGGUCUAAAGGGUCUGUAGCCGGCCGGAUAAGUCUCUUGAGAAACCUGGCAGCUUAACUGUCUGGCUUUCAGGAGAUACUGUCUGGCUCGAGGCCGGGAGAGGUGAGAGGUACUUCAGGGGUAGGGGUGAAAUCUUGUAAUCCUUGAAGGACCACCAGUGGCGAAGGCGUCUCACCAGAACGGACCUGACGGCAAGGGACGAAAGCUAGGGGCACGAACCG
This 387-nucleotide ribosomal RNA is filed under the name uncultured bacterium. RNAcentral describes it as "bacterial SSU rRNA". It matches the Rfam family "Archaeal small subunit ribosomal RNA", at positions 339 to 726 of the family's 1478-position model. The record is from RNAcentral.